RNAcentral lists this ribosomal RNA (292 nucleotides) under uncultured bacterium. RNAcentral describes it as "partial 16S ribosomal RNA". The record is from RNAcentral.
GGACUACCGGGGUUUCUAAUCCUGUUUGCUCCCCACGCUGUCGCGCCUCAGUGUCAGCAACUGCCCAGCUCACCGCCUUCGCCACCGGUGUUCUUCCGGAUCUCUACGCAUUCCACCGCUACACCCGGAAUUCCAUGAGCCUCUACAGUGCUCCAGCCCCGCAGUCUCGACGGCCGACUCGGCGUUGAGCGCCGAGCUUUCACCGUUGACUUGCGGCGCCACCUACGCGCCCUUUACGCCCAGUGAUUCCGGACAACGCUCGCACCCUCCGUAUUACCGCGGCUGCUGGCAC